AUGUCUCCCUCUCCCAUGUUGUAUUUAUUUAUUUUUUUCUGCCAGAAUCUGUCAGUUACAGUGAAAAAUUACAACACAGAUCACAGCAUGCCCACUUUAGUUAAUUUUUUUUUUUUUUGUUAUUUUAUUGAACUGAAAGCAGUCUUAAACAAUGCACAUUGUGCAUUUCACACACGUUUUCUAUUUUAUUAUUUUUCAUUUGAGCAUAGACAUUGCUCAAGUUCACAUUUUAAGAGCAAGUGAGAGCACAGGUGCCUCCAUCUGUCCUGCUGUUCAGUGUCCACACACACUUCAAUAGCGUACAUUUCUGUAGGUCAACAUUAGACUGAAAAGUUAUUACUACAUAUUUUCGAUGAAAAGCUAUAUUUGAGGACUAUGAAUGAUAAGUGGGCUUUUGGAUGUACUGCCCGAUGUAGGCAAUUGUAUUACCACAUAGACCAGCCUUUACCGAUCUCUCCUUUAUCAGCCACACCAGAGCAAACAGGAGGACAGCAUAAAGACACAGGGCGAGUACAAUUGAGUUCAUAAUUAAAAUAUAAGCCUAUAGUUUAUACUUUAUUUAUUUAAAAGGUAGGCUAUAUUUGUGUAGAAAGUUGGGGAUCAAAGUGUUAUUACGAUUCCAGUUCCCACCAAGAUUUUUUCCCAUCCUGUCCCAAUCCCGUGAUAGUGAUUAUGUUUACAAUCAAUGUCAGCCUCUAGUGUGAAGAUGGAUAACCAGCGUCAGCAGGCAAAUCCCGGACGAUCUCAGGUAAUUGGUCUUAAAUAUUUUGUUAGUGGGUGACAGAAACAUUCCCUUCGUGUGAUAUAUAAUGCACAUCUUAUCAGUAAAGCCGGUUGUGUAAUCAGCGGUAAAUCUCCAUCACCUGCACGCUUUCACAAGGAGCAGCAUUAGCGUUCGACUUGAAGCAGCUGCACAGAAUGAUCACUGCAGGGCUGCCAACUCUCACGAAUCUGACUUCAAUCUCACGCUGAAGUCCAAGCAUGAGUGUCACGCCAGAUGCAUGAGAGUUGGCAACCCUGAACACUGUAUUACAUCAAAGUACCGCGCGAGCGAUCCGAAUGCAUUGGAUCCGUGUGCUCUCUUAUCGCUCGCGCGGUAGCUACUUUUUGUCAUACAGUGAUCAUUCUGUGCAGCUGCUUCAAGUCGAACGCUAAUGCUGCUCCUUGUGAAAGCGCGCAAGUGAUGGAGAUUUACCGCUGAUUACACAACCGGCUUUACUGACAAGAUAAAUUAAAUAUUGCGUGUGAUUUAUCAUGCAGCCCAACUGCCUAAAAUAUAAAGUAUUGGUAAAUAAACCAAACUAACAAGACACGUGUUAACAGGAUAUCGGCCUACUCAGACUACAUAGGCUAGUGCUUGCAGAAAAUACAAUAAUACACAAAGGGAAUGUUUCUGUCACCCACUAACAAAAUAUUUUAUAUAUUUUAUUUAUGCUUAUUAUUUUUCGAUCUGUGACUGCAAUACAUUUGGCGGGAUUCUAAUCCCAUACUCGACUUUUUACAAAUGCUGGAAAGAAACGUGUGCUACGGAAACCCUCGCGAUAGCACAUUUGCCUGUAAGUGACUGAUUCAACUGUCAUGAUAGUUUUGCAGUCCGAACGUAAUCGUUUUGCCAUGAUCGAUCAACGUCAUUUUGAUCAAAAUCUAAGAAACUAUUAUUAUUAUUUAUAAUAGAUCACAAUUACGAUCGGUGGGUCCGUGAUUAUUUCCAUGGUGGCCAUGGCAACCCCUGGCCACCCCCUAGCUCCGCCCCUGAUACUACAUGGUUGAGUAUAUAGUCUACAGUGCAUCAUUUGGGAUGUAGCUAAAGUUCCAAAAACAUCUCGUCACUGCACAAGAUUCCGGUAUGCUCAGUUUCAAAUGAUUAUAAAACAACAAGUACAAACUGUGCAAAAGCGGCAGUGGUUCUGGCACACUCAGUGUCCAAAUCCACUCACUCGUUUGAAAUCACUCCUUCAACUGGUCUACGGUAUAUUAGUGGAAUAGUAAUGAGAGCAUAGUUUGGUGAUUUCGAGCAUUUAGUUAAACCAUUUUAGAGAUAAAUUUCACUAAAUUAAUCAAGUUACAUAUAAAUCUCAGAUACUACAAACGUUGAGUAUGUAUUACUUAAUCUCAGCCACAAGUAACUUUGCUUUAUUAUUUUCUGAUUUUAUUUGUCAUUUUAUUUGCUGCCUCUGUCCUGCAUGUUACUAAUGUCUUUAGAAAUGUUUAAAGUCUUAAAAUUCUACUUGAUUGAUACCAUUGUUGUGUUCCGAAUGCUGAAUGUUGAGAUCUGUGUGAGAAACAAUUGAAGUCAUUUGCAAGAUAUUGUCUCACUUUAAGAGGGAUAAUAUGUAAUGUAUGUACAAUUGCAAUAAAAGUAUGCUUUAUAUGAAACACUAUAAUUAUAAUUAUUCAAUUGUUUACUCGCCCUCAUGUUGUUCCAAAUCAAUACUAAUAAUAAUAAUAAAUCAUCUUGAAACAUAAAUUAACAAAUCUGUAAAAUUCCUAUCCAUUUAUUGAAAGUGUCUUCACCCAAAAAAAAAAAAAAAAAAAAAAAAAACAGUCUGUGAAACCUGUGUAAUCUAAUGUUUAACGCACUUCAUGAUGUUGAUAACAAAGACCUAAAUACAUAUAUAUAUAUAUAUAUACACACAUACAUGCACAGUGCUGAUUGAAAGUUUGUUAACCCUUUACUAUUUUCUAUAUUUCUGCAUUAAUACGACCCAAAACAACCAGUCCUACAAGUCCUAAAAGUGGACCAGGAGAACACAAC
Long non-coding RNA from Carassius auratus (goldfish), 2755 nucleotides. Lineage: Eukaryota; Metazoa; Chordata; Actinopteri; Cypriniformes; Cyprinidae. The record is from Ensembl.